This 130-nucleotide ribosomal RNA is filed under the name Staphylococcus delphini. Its description in RNAcentral is "partial 23S ribosomal RNA". It matches the Rfam family "Bacterial large subunit ribosomal RNA", at positions 1 to 125 of the family's 2925-position model. RNAcentral also lists the same sequence under 1 other name. Lineage: Bacteria; Bacillati; Bacillota; Bacilli; Caryophanales; Staphylococcaceae. The record is from RNAcentral.
AUAUAGAUUAAGUUAUUAAGGGCGCACGGUGGAUGCCUUGGCACUAGAAGCCGAUGAAGGACGUUACUAACGACGAUAUGCUUUGGGGAGCUGUAAGUAAGCUUUGAUCCAGAGAUUUCCGAAUGGGGAA